RNAcentral lists this ribosomal RNA (500 nucleotides) under uncultured organism. RNAcentral's name for it is "SSU rRNA". It matches the Rfam family "Bacterial small subunit ribosomal RNA", at positions 15 to 509 of the family's 1533-position model. The record is from RNAcentral.
GAUCCUGGCUCAGGAUGAACGCUGGCGGCGUGCCUAACACAUGCAAGUCGAACGGAGCUGUUACAGAUCAAGGCUUGGCCAAGUGAAGUUUCAGCUUAGUGGCGGACGGGUGAGUAACGCGUGAGUAACCUGCCUUUCAGAGGGGGAUAACGUUUGGAAACGAACGCUAAUACCGCAUAACGUAAGGAGAUCGCAUGGUCACCUUACCAAAGAUUUUAGUCGCUGAAAGAUGGACUCGCGUCUGAUUAGAUAGUUGGUGAGGUAAACGGCCCACCAAGUCGACGAUCAGUAGCCGGACUGAGAGGUUGAACGGCCACAUUGGGACUGAGACACGGCCCAGACUCCUACGGGAGGCAGCAGUGGGGAAUAUUGCACAAUGGGCGCAAGCCUGAUGCAGCAACGCCGCGUGAGGGAUGACGGUUUUCGGAAUUGUAAACCUCUGUCUUUGGUGACGAAGAAGUGACGGUAGCCAAGGAGGAAGCCACGGCUAACUACGUGCC